GACAAAAAAAAGACCCAAAACUAUUCCGAUUGUUAUGGGUCUAGGGGAAUGGCUCACUAGGAGCCGUGCGCUACUGUUGUCUACCCUAUGGGUAAAAAAAGGUUUAAUCACAUCAUUGCUAAAGACUAAUGAUAUAGAGUGUAGACCACCUU
RNAcentral lists this small RNA (152 nucleotides) under Shewanella pealeana ATCC 700345. The record is from RNAcentral. Lineage: Bacteria; Pseudomonadati; Pseudomonadota; Gammaproteobacteria; Alteromonadales; Shewanellaceae.